UACGAACCGUACGAACGUUAUUCGGUAUCACUGGGCUUAAAGCGUGCGUAGGCGGCCUUGCAGGUCGGGUGUGAAAUCCCACGGCUCAACCGUGGAACUGCGCCCGAAACCGUGAGGCUUGAGGAAAGCAGGGGUGUGCGGAACAGAUGGUGGAGCGGUGAAAUGCGUUGAUAUUAUCUGGAACACCGGUGGCGAAAGCG
This 200-nucleotide ribosomal RNA is filed under the name uncultured bacterium. Its description in RNAcentral is "partial 16S ribosomal RNA". It matches the Rfam family "Bacterial small subunit ribosomal RNA", at positions 524 to 723 of the family's 1533-position model. The record is from RNAcentral.